RNAcentral lists this transfer RNA (97 nucleotides) under Drosophila busckii. It matches the Rfam family "tRNA". From Rfam's summary of the family: Transfer RNA (tRNA) molecules are approximately 80 nucleotides in length. Their secondary structure includes four short double-helical elements and three loops (D, anti-codon, and T loops). The record is from Rfam by way of RNAcentral. Lineage: Eukaryota; Metazoa; Arthropoda; Insecta; Diptera; Drosophilidae.
CCUUCGAUAGCUCAGUUGGUAGAGCGGUGGACUGUAGUGCGAACAACACGACUGUGUAGAAAUCCAUAGGUCGCUGGUUCAAAUCCGGCUCGAAGGA